RNAcentral lists this ribosomal RNA (408 nucleotides) under uncultured bacterium. RNAcentral's name for it is "bacterial SSU rRNA". It matches the Rfam family "Bacterial small subunit ribosomal RNA", at positions 354 to 779 of the family's 1533-position model. The record is from RNAcentral.
GUGGGGAAUUUUGCGCAAUGGGGGAAACCCUGACGCAGCAACGCCGCGUGCGGGAUGACGGCCUUCGGGUUGUAAACCGCUUUCAGCAGGGAAGAAAUUCGACGGUACCUGCAGAAGAAGCUCCGGCUAACUACGUGCCAGCAGCCGCGGUAAUACGUAGGGAGCGAGCGUUAUCCGGAUUCAUUGGGCGUAAAGAGCGCGUAGGCGGCCUUUCAAGCGGGAUCUCUAAUCCGAGGGCUCAACCCCCGGCCGGAUCCCGAACUGGGAGGCUCGAGUUCGGUAGAGGCAGGCGGAAUUCCCGGUGUAGCGGUGGAAUGCGCAGAUAUCGGGAAGAACACCGAUGGCGAAGGCAGCCUGCUGGGCCGAAACUGACGCUGAGGCGCGAAAGCUAGGGGAGCGAACAGGAUU